GAUGAAGAACGCAGCGAAAUGCGAUAAGUAGUGUGAAUUGCAGAAUUCAGUGAAUCAUCGAAUCUUUGAACGCACAUUGCGCCCUUUGGUAUUCCUUAGGGCAUGCCUGUUCGAGCGUCAUUUAAACCUUCAAGCUAAGCUUGGUGUUGGGUGACUGUCCGCUUCACGGCGGACUCGCCUCAAAAUUAUUGGCGGCCGGUACAUUGGCUUCGAGCGCAGCAGAAACGCGAACUCGGGCCCGUCGUAUUGGCUCCCAGAAGCUAUCUUCACAAUUUUGACCUCGGAUCAGGUAGGGAUACCCGCUGAACUUAAGCAUAUCAAUAAGCGGAAGA
This 332-nucleotide unclassified non-coding RNA is filed under the name soil metagenome. Its description in RNAcentral is "partial contains 5.8S ribosomal RNA, internal transcribed spacer 2, and large subunit ribosomal RNA". The stretch from base 1 to 120 matches the Rfam family "5.8S ribosomal RNA", at positions 35 to 154 of the family's 154-position model. The record is from RNAcentral.